UUGAGCGGCGUCCGUGGAGUGCGCCUGCGCAGCUACGACCGCAGCAGGAAAGCGCCGCCGGCCAGGCCCAGCUGUGGCCGGACAGGGACUGGAAGAGAGGACGCGGUCGAGUAGGUGUGCACCAGCCCUGGCAACGAGAGCGUCUACCCCGAACUCUGCUGGCCUUGAGGUUUUAAAACAUGAAUCCUACACUCAUCCUUGCUGCCUUUUGCCUGGGAAUUGCCUCAGCUACUCUAACAUUUGAUCACAGUUUAGAGGCACAGUGGACCAAGUGGAAGGCGAUGCACAACAGAUUAUACGGCAUGAAUGAAGAAGGAUGGAGGAGAGCAGUGUGGGAGAAGAACAUGAAGAUGAUUGAACUGCACAAUCAGGAAUACAGGGAAGGGAAACACAGCUUCACAAUGGCCAUGAACGCCUUUGGAGACAUGACCAGUGAAGAAUUCAGGCAGGUGAUGAAUGGCUUUCAAAACCGUAAGCCCAGGAAGGGGAAAGUGUUCCAGGAACCUCUGUUUUAUGAGGCCCCCAGAUCUGUGGAUUGGAGAGAGAAAGGCUACGUGACUCCUGUGAAGAAUCAGGGUCAGUGUGGUUCUUGUUGGGCUUUUAGCGCUACUGGUGCUCUUGAAGGACAGAUGUUCCGGAAAACUGGGAGGCUUAUCUCACUGAGUGAGCAGAAUCUGGUAGACUGCUCUGGGCCUCAAGGCAAUGAGGGCUGCAAUGGUGGCCUAAUGGAUUAUGCUUUCCAGUAUGUUCAGGAUAAUGGAGGCCUGGACUCUGAGGAAUCCUAUCCAUAUGAGGCAACAGAAGAAUCCUGUAAGUACAAUCCCAAGUAUUCUGUUGCUAAUGACACCGGCUUUGUGGACAUCCCUAAGCAGGAGAAGGCCCUGAUGAAGGCAGUUGCAACUGUGGGG
RNAcentral lists this small RNA (908 nucleotides) under Pan troglodytes (chimpanzee). RNAcentral's name for it is "processed transcript". Lineage: Eukaryota; Metazoa; Chordata; Mammalia; Primates; Hominidae. The record is from RNAcentral.